Molecule: long non-coding RNA, 669 nt
Organism: Manihot esculenta (cassava)
Lineage: Eukaryota; Viridiplantae; Streptophyta; Magnoliopsida; Malpighiales; Euphorbiaceae
Exons: 3
Source: RefSeq, a predicted model, not a curated record
UUAAACAAGACCCACUAUCCCAUGACAAUCCACAUCCAAGACCUCAAUCACUUUUCCCGUUCAGACCCAUCUCCCAAACCCUCUUCCCUUAUAUGCUCAAUACUGAGAAAACCCUUUUUGCGUAUCACCCAUCUUGCAAACCCCUAAUCUCGUAUCUGCUCUUCUUCAAACCCCAGUCCCGAAACCUCUUUCCUGUUCAGACCCGUCUCCCAAAGCUCAAUCGCCAUCCUCAGCCGCAUCCUCUCAAUUUCUUGCUCCAAAGUUCACAUUCCAGGAAGUGUCCAUCUUAAUUGGGUGCUUGUAUAUUUUUGGGUUUUUCUUGUUCUUUCGAUUCAUGUGGAGAAAGCUUUCGAUGAAGGAUUGUGCGCUUUUGACCCCAACCCUAAAGCGGCCGUCUCUGAAAAUCCAAUCGCAUUUUAAUACUUAACCACUUUGGAAAGACAAGUUGAGGGAGAACUGUUACAAAAGGGUGCACGAGGAUAGGAAUCGCUUGCUUUGGGAAAUGAGGUUGCCCACUGCUAAAUCUCUUGGUGAUAAGAAAUUUAUCAAACCUGCAUUCCUGGUAUUCACAAUGCUUAUCAAAGUGAAUAUGAGGAGAUAUUGAAAGUAACACUAAAUGAUCUUCUAUGAAGAUCUCGGGGCAGAACCAACAAGAAAAGGUAAAUUUUG